GAUGAACGCUGGCGGCGUGCCUAAUACAUGCCAGUCGAGCGAACAGACGAGGAGCUUGCUCCUCUGACGUUAGCGGCGGACGGGUGAGUAACACGUGGAUAACCUACCUAUAAGACUGGGAUAACUUCGGGAAACCGGAGCUAAUACCGGAUAAUAUAUUGAACCGCAUGGUUCAAUAGUGAAAGACGGUUUUGCUGUCACUUAUAGAUGGAUCCGCGCCGCAUUAGCUAGUUGGUAAGGUAACGGCUUACCAAGGCAACGAUGCGUAGCCGACCUGAGAGGGUGAUCGGCCACACUGGAACUGAGACACGGUCCAGACUCCUACGGGAGGCAGCAGUAAGGAAUCUUCCGCAAUGGGCGAAAGCCUGACGGAGCAACGCCGCGUGAGUGAUGAAGGUCUUCGGAUCGUAAAACUCUGUUAUUAGGGAAGAACAAAUGUGUAAGUAACUAUGCACGUCUUGACGGUACCUAAUCAGAAAGCCACGGCUAACUACGUG
RNAcentral lists this ribosomal RNA (497 nucleotides) under uncultured bacterium. RNAcentral's name for it is "partial 16S ribosomal RNA". It matches the Rfam family "Bacterial small subunit ribosomal RNA", at positions 28 to 507 of the family's 1533-position model. The record is from RNAcentral.